GCCCAAGAGAUCGGGAUAACACCUGGAAACAGAUGCUAAUACCGGAUAACAACAGAUGAUGCCUAUCAACUGUUUAAAAGAUGGUUCUGCUAUCACUCUUGGAUGGACCUGCGGUGCAUUAGCUAGUUGGUAGGGUAACGGCCUGCCAAGGCGAUGAUGCAUAGCCGAGUUGAGAGACUGAUCGGCCACAUUGGGACUGAGACACGGCCCAAACUCCUACGGGAGGCAGCAGC
Molecule: ribosomal RNA, 233 nt
Filed under: uncultured Lactobacillus sp.
Lineage: Bacteria; Bacillati; Bacillota; Bacilli; Lactobacillales; Lactobacillaceae
Description: partial 16S ribosomal RNA
Rfam family: Bacterial small subunit ribosomal RNA
Source: RNAcentral